This 1179-nucleotide ribosomal RNA is filed under the name marine metagenome. RNAcentral describes it as "bacterial SSU rRNA". It matches the Rfam family "Bacterial small subunit ribosomal RNA", at positions 309 to 1520 of the family's 1533-position model. The record is from RNAcentral.
CAGAGGGGGACUGAGACACGGCCCCCACUCCUACGGGAGGCAGCAGCUAAGAAUAUUGCACAAUGGACGAAAGUCUGAUGCAGCGACACCGCGUGAAGGAUGAAGGCCCUAGGGUUGUAAACUUCUUUUAUUAGGGAAUAGCAAGGAAGGUACCUAAUGAAUAAGCAACGGCUAACUACGUGCCAGCAGCCGCGGUAAUACGUAGGUUGCAAACGUUGUCCGGAAUCACUGGGCGUAAAGGGUCCGUAGGCGGUUUGAUAAGUCUCAUAUGAAAGCUUCAAGCUCAACUUGGAGAUGUUGUGAGAUACUGUCAGACUAGAGACUGUUAGAGGUAAGUGGAAUUCCAGGUGUAGUGGUGAAAUGCGUAGAUAUCUGGAGGAACACCAGUGGCGAAAGCGACUUACUGGGACAGUUCUGACGCUAAGGGACGAAAGCGUGGGGAGCGAACCGGAUUAGAUACCCGGGUAGUCCACGCUGUAAACGAUGAUUGCUAGGUUUUCGGGGCAUCGACCCCUCGUGAGCCGAAGUUAACGCGUUAAGCAAUCCGCCUGAGUAGUACGGCCGCAAGGCUAAAACUCAAAGGAAUUGACGGGGGACCGCACAAGCAGCGGAGCGUGUGGUUUAAUUCGAUGGUAAGCGAAGAACCUUACCAGGGUUUGACAUGUAAGUAGUACUGAACCGAAAGGGGAUGGACCCGCAAGGGAGCUUACACAGGUGUUGCAUGGUUGUCGUCAGCUCGUGCCGUGAGGUGUUGGGUUAAGUCCCGCAACGAGCGCAACCCUCUUUGUUAGUUGCACUCUCUAACGAUACUGCCCUUAAAAGGGAGGAAGGUGGGGAUGACGUCAAAUCAUCAUGGCUCUUACACCCUGGGCUACACACACGCUACAAUGGCAAGUACAGACGGUCGCCAACCCGCGAGGGGGAGCUAAUCCGAUAAAACUUGUCUCAGUUGGGAUUGCAGGCUGAAAUUCGCCUGCAUGAACGUGGAGUUGCUAGUAAACGCAGGUCAGCACACUGCGUUGAAUACGUUCCCGGUCCUUGUACACACCGCCCGUCACGUCAUGGAAGUUGGUAACACUUGAAGUCGUUGCGCUAACCCUUUGGGAGGCAGACGCCGAGAGUGGGACUGAUGACUGGGACGAAGUCGUAACAAGGUAGCUGUACCGGAAGGUGCGGCUG